CCUACGGGAGGCAGCAGUGAGGAAUAUUGGUCAAUGGCCGGAAGGCUGAACCAGCCAUGCCGCGUGAAGGUCAGUGCCCUAUGGGCGUUAAACUUCUUUUGUGCGGGAGCAAUAAUGGUCACGUGUGGCCAGACGAGAGUACCGUACGAAUAAGCAUCGGCUAACUCCGUGCCAGCAGCCGCGGUAAUACGGGGGGUGCGAGGGUUAUCCGGGUUUAUGGGGUUAAAGGGGUGCGCAGGCGGAUUUUUAAGUCAGCGGGCAAAGCGUGGGGGCCAACCCCAUCCAGCCGUUGAAACUGGGGAUCUAGAGUGUGCGAGAGGUAGGCGGAAUGCGUGGUGUAGCGGUGAAAUGCAUAGAUAUCACGCAGAACACCGAUUGCGAAGGCAGCAUACCGGUGCACAACUGACGCUCAGGCACGAAAGCGUGGGUAUCGAACAGGAUUAGAUACCCGGGUAGUC
This 458-nucleotide ribosomal RNA is filed under the name uncultured bacterium. Its description in RNAcentral is "partial 16S ribosomal RNA". It matches the Rfam family "Bacterial small subunit ribosomal RNA", at positions 338 to 795 of the family's 1533-position model. The record is from RNAcentral.